CUCAGGCUCAGGCUCAGGCUCAAAUCUGUGCAAUGAGGAGACACAGCCAGAUGCGAGUGGUAACACUGCCUGGGCUCCAAACCGGUCCUGCUCUGAAACUGGAAAAAGGAGGAUUUUUGUUUGGCCACACCCUCAUUAGAGUACCUGAAGAAGUUUCAAGAAGAUGCUGGAUUCUGACAGCAAAGACACACACAUCAUGAACAGCACUGUCCUUCUGGGGCAAUGGAGUUUGCAUCUUCCUGCCGUUUACCUUCACUACCGCAUGAAAAACAUUUCUGCAAACAGCAAAGCUGCUGAGGAUGAGAAUUUAGAUUGAGAUGGAGACCACUUUUUUCUUCUGGCAGGGGAAAACAAGGAGAGAAGAGUGCAAUGAACUGCAGCUAUCUAGCCAAACACACCGUGCUCCGAUCCCACACACAGCUUUGAACAACGAAGAAUAUGCAGUCUGUACACCUCCUGUCCAGAACCAGCAAUCACAGAUGGACACCAGUGGUCCGUGGCAUUGGCCAGGAGUAUUUUGACCUGCAGUUGGCUGCUGCAAGCCUAAACUUCUCUGCAUUUUGCUGCCGUUGCAUGUAAAGCGUCUCAUUUAGCUGAGUUUAACCGGCAUCCUCUGGCAGUGAAGGCAGUCACAUCAUUUUAACAUCCAAUACAAGCAAGAUAAAGAAACCAAGUAUCCAGCACGACUUCUCCCACCCUUAAUGUAAACAGGUUAUAACAAAUCAACACUAAAAUGUAAGUCUUGUAUCAGUGGCCUUCUGAUCAAGCAGCACUGCUGCGUUUCACAACCUCCCGAGAAGAGCCUGUACCUGUGUCCCGAAAAGUACCUGCACAUUGCACCAGGGCUAGGCAAGAGCAGAGCAGUUUUCCACAGAGAACAACUAGAGAUUUUUAUCAGCAGAUGCUGCUGCAUGGCAGUACCCUGCUUCAUCCCAAACCCAGGCUCAGGGGUACUGCCAGUCUCAAGUCUGGGUAGCUUGAUAUGAACUGAAUUAUACAGCCAAACUUCUCCAAAAUCCACCCAAUUUUCAUCCAGGCUGGAAAAGUGUAACUUAUGUAAGAAUCUGUGCAGACUUUUUGAAAAGGCAAAAAAACCAAAAAAAAAAAAAAAAAAAAAAAAAAGGCGAGAGAAAAGGGCUGAAAAGAACUGGAAAUGAAACAAAUUUCUUAUUUCCUUGCAGCUUGGGAAUAGUUAUUUUCAGUAUUAGUCUGCACACUGCAACAGCAAUGGAUGUAUUGAAAACAGCUGCUCAUUUCAGACAAACAGUAAACUAUACCAGUUGUGAUCUGCUUGAAAUGAUAAGUUCUUUGAGACCUUAUGAAUAAUAUCAGCAUCUGCAAAUGCACCUUAUUCACCACAGAGACACUGUAGCAUGUGCUGGUGCUGCAAGAAGUAACCAGUCCCUAUCGUUUACAGAACAGAUACCAAGCUAACCCAGCAAGUGCACAAGGCUCAAAGUAUGGAUUUUAGUUGCAUAUAUCCAUUAAUAAACUCCAAGAUGUUCAGCUGCAGUCUGACAGGCAGAAGAUUUGCACUUUUACAUGGAAAAGAGCAGAAUACUUAACCUGAGUCUAACCUCCCUGCUUAAAACCUAGAUGCACUUAAUUUAGCAAGUACAAAUUAAUUAGUAUUAUUAAAAUAGCACUUAGCACCAGGAACAGGCAGACUGCUAGUAUUUAAAAAAUACAUUAGCUGGUCAUCAUAAUCUCCAUGUCUAACAAGGCUUGGACCAGGUAAGGUUCUUUUUGCCUACACCAGGAACUACAUGUUAAAAGUCUACAUGAAAACCACUUCUUUUUCCAGGUAGUGCUGGAGUCUAAACACCAGAAGAUCUUGAACCUAUACUUUAGUACAAAACCUCCUCAGUUUGGAAGAAAAGCAGCACAGGGCAAAUCAGAAAGGACAAAUUUCACUUUAUAUAUAGUUAGAAAGAGACUGAGAAGAAACAUUCUUAACCAGAAUUAAUUUACGAGACAAAUAAGUAUUUUUAUGAGCAAAGGCAUCAGGGAAGAGUUUUCUGAUCCAUUUCUAAUUCUCUGUAAUGUUUCCAAAACCUUUACUGUUACAGAUUAUGUCAAGCAGCAGCACCUUUGCUUUGCUUCUCUUCCAGAUUUCACAGAUAAUUUUCAUCUGUAUUUGUUUGGAUUUU
Corvus hawaiiensis (hawaiian crow) is the source of this 2150-nucleotide long non-coding RNA. RefSeq lists it as uncharacterized. The record is from RefSeq and is a predicted model, not a curated record. Lineage: Eukaryota; Metazoa; Chordata; Aves; Passeriformes; Corvidae. The transcript has 3 exons.